UUGUAAAUUUUUGGGAUAUUUAGACUUUGGGUCUCAAUUUUGUGACCAGCUUUGAGUUUGGGUCUUGAGAAAAUUUUAAUUAGAGUUUGGGUCCUGGACUAUAGUUGACCGUCUUAACAGUUACAUAAGCAGGUUAAAUGUAGAAACGACCAACUGAAAUUUGGAUUUUAGUUUAUUUA
Papaver somniferum (opium poppy) is the source of this 179-nucleotide long non-coding RNA. RefSeq lists it as uncharacterized. The transcript has 3 exons. NCBI's taxonomy places the organism in Eukaryota, Viridiplantae, Streptophyta, Magnoliopsida, Ranunculales, Papaveraceae. The record is from RefSeq and is a predicted model, not a curated record.